RNAcentral lists this long non-coding RNA (391 nucleotides) under Lathyrus oleraceus (garden pea). RNAcentral's name for it is "Pisum sativum (pea) long non-coding RNA (PSAT_LNC031147)". Lineage: Eukaryota; Viridiplantae; Streptophyta; Magnoliopsida; Fabales; Fabaceae. The record is from RNAcentral.
GUUUUUUUUAAUUCAUUUUUUUUUUAUAUAUACAUAUAUUUAGAUCUGCACAUUUUUUUUCAUAACUAACUACCCUGAUUUUUCCUAAACCCUGACAAUUUCGCCACAAACUCUAAAUUUCAAACCUAAAACUUUAACCGUGUUGUUUCCUCUAAACCAUAAACCUUUUCUUAAACCUUAACAAACCUUAUUAUUAUUUCCUAUUUUCGCUCAUAUUUAUGUUAUUCAUACACUGUAACUGCUUCGCCCUUGUAAUAUUUUAAGUUUUAACUUGUAAUAUUUUCAGUUUUACUUUUCGCCAUCUUUAUUAUGUAACUGCACCAAAGCGUUGUAAUAAUUAGGGUUUUAUUUUCUGCCAUUUAUUUUCUGCCAUUUUAUUUUUCUGCCAUUU